CUUAUUUAGAGUGGCUGAGGGGAUAGGCCCUGUGAAGCCCGGCAACCUGCUUUGAGCAAGGUGCCAAUUCCUACGGUAUUAACCGAAAGAUAAGG
This 95-nucleotide non-coding RNA is filed under the name human gut metagenome. RNAcentral's name for it is "SAM riboswitch (S box leader)". It matches the Rfam family "SAM riboswitch aptamer (S box leader)". From Rfam's summary of the family: The SAM riboswitch is found upstream of a number of genes which code for proteins involved in methionine or cysteine biosynthesis in Gram-positive bacteria. The SAM riboswitch acts at the level of transcription termination control. The predicted structure consists of a complex stem-loop region followed by a single stem loop terminator region. The record is from RNAcentral.